CGCCCCGCCCCACCUUGGGCUCUCUGUCCCUCCGCAGCCGGGGAUUGCUCCCACCCCUCCUCGAGGCGGCGGUUGGUAAGGCUUCGUGCCUGGCCUCCGCAAAGAGUUCGGCUCUGUCAGCCUCUGCCCUGUCUCAGGGCCAAACUUAGGUAGGGUAGGGAGCAACUGUGGAUUGCCUGGUCCGGGCUAAGGGACAUCUCUUGGGGCCUAUGGAUAAGGAGCAUCCCCGGUUGCAAGCGUAGGGUUGUAAGUUUGUAGGGUUCAGUGGGGCAGCUUGGCAGUGACACGGAGAGGCUGAGGGAGGGCUUCAGAGGUCAAGGGCUCGAGGGCUGGAGACAAACAGUGAAAAGAAAAGGGGUAUAGGUUGGGAUAUAAGGUAGAGUACAGGACUAUUCAAACCCUAAACAGUAGCCCUCACAGCGCUCCCGUUUCCUUGAGACAGCUGCAGGCAGGAACCCUAAAGCAGCAGAGUGCCAGAACCCCUGAGAGGUGCAGGCAGUACCCCUGGUGCUAGGGCCAGCCAGGAAGAGAUAGUGAGUGCUAGGGCCUACUGCUGUCACAUAAGCUGGGGUUUCUAUCCUUGGGGUAUCCUGGGCUCCCUGUCCCUCACUGACUGGAGAGUCUUCCUCCCCUCCUGGAGGUGGUGGUCGUUUGGCUGUCAGCCAAUACUGCUGUGAAGCAAGCUUCGGCCUCCCUGUGGGGUGAAGUGUGCAGCCCAUGAACCUGGGCAUUCUCUAGAGAAGGUAAGUGCUGGGUUUUCACAGAUGUGGCACUAAGCUCCUGCAUUGAUAUUUUGUCUUCUUGGUUGUAGCUGACCAGGAGUCGACAUCCUGGCAAUGGCAGGAACUUCCCAGAUGGCGAGGAGGCCUUCCUUCGCACCCCAUGUGGAUCCACCCCACAAGGCAUCCGAGAGCUGAGUCAAAGGCUACCACCCGCAGAGGGGAUGAAAGCGGGGUGCCGGGUCGGGGCUCGUGACCUGGGAUAUUUGAGUCAGCUUUGGGGACGGGGAGGUCCAGGCUGUGGCCCCUUAGGCCGCACGGUGGGAGAGCCUCACUUUUGUUCACAGUGCUGAGGUGUGCAGGACAGAGCAGCCUCGGGGCGUGGCGUGUCACUUGUCCGUCGUGCCUUCUGUGUCUUUUGUGCCUCUUGUGUUGUACGUGCCUUGCCCUAUCUCUUCUGGGGGCUUACCAGAAACCCCAGCAUCACUUAUAGCAUCUCCGAUCUCUGGGCUCCUCGGCUCGGCUGCUCUCAGAGGCCUUGGAAUCGCGUCUGUUUCGAAAAGCAUCCGAUCGGAUGUCUUUUAGACGUCUUCUUCCGAGCUGUGUCAACAGCCGUGCGCCGCGAGGAUCCAUUGUUGCGGCUUAGGACUUGAAGAAACGCAAAGAUAGGUAGAGGAUUGCGGCCAUAAGAUUCUUGGGCCUCCGUCUUGGCGGUUCCUGGAGUUUGUCAUUCCGUCAGCAUCUUCUUCCUCCCGGGUUCUGUGAGCUUCAUCAGCUCGCCUUCAUUCUCACCCGGCUCAUCUCGUUCCGCAUUCUCAGUCCUUGCGGCCGUCCUUGUGGCCCAGAGUUUUGUCUCCCCAUUGUGUCCCCUCGUCGGUUGUCUGGUGUGUCACGGGUGUCUGGGUGUAGUUGUCCCGGAGCUGCUCUGCCCUGCUGCCCAGCCUGGCUGUAGGUGUAAAAGGCCAAGUCCCAGGCCCCUGUAAUUUGAAAUUUGUGAUGUAGGGUGUAGUUGGGGUCUAGAACAUAUCCCUAGAUCAACACAAGAUGUCUGGAGCUGUGAAGUUACCCUGCAGCACUUUAACUUUUGUCUCAGCUCUCUUUCAGAUGCGGCCGGAUGAAAUCGGUGGCAGAGCGCCCCAUCCAGGGUAAGGGGGUUCCCCCGAGAAGGUAAGUCAGUGUUUGUCUUUGCAGGGCAACUGGAACCGGUCACUGUGUUACAGGUCUCCUCUUUGUCUUUAUUUUUAGGAAAUAGAGCCAGCUAGCAGCAGUCAAGGUGAAGUGGGCAAGGCGGUCCAGUCGCGUUUCGUCGAGACCCCGUCGCCAGCCGGCCGGCACGCCUGCUUCGCCGCUCCCGUGAGCCCUGCGGAAGCGUCACAGGGACUGCGUGACGGAGCCUUUUCCACGUAAAGGGGCCGUGUGGGUGGCCUUCAGGAAGGGGCCGAGGGCUUCCCGCGCGCCCUGCGACGACGCUGCCUGGUCCCGGCGUGGCCCUAUCGUGCGGCCUCAGGACACGGCCCUGACGGAGAGACGACAGCCUGGCGAUGGCAGGAACUUCCCGGAUAGCCAGGCGGCCUUCCUUGGCGCUCCGUGUGGAUCCUCCCCAGCGGG
Molecule: non-coding RNA, 2327 nt
Organism: Cyanistes caeruleus (blue tit)
Lineage: Eukaryota; Metazoa; Chordata; Aves; Passeriformes; Paridae
Source: RefSeq, a predicted model, not a curated record